GACGUAGGGGGCCAGCGUUGUUCGGAAUUACUGGGUGUAAAGGGUUCGUAGGCGGUGCGGCAAGUUGGGAGUGAAAUCUCUGGGCUUAACCCAGAGGCUGCUUCCAAAACUGCUGUGCUUGAGUGUGGGAGAGGCGCGUGGAAUUGCAGGUGUAGCGGUGAAAUGCGUAGAUAUCUGCAGGAACACCCGUGGCGAAAGCGGCGCGCUGGACCACUACUGACGCUGAGGCGCGAAAGCGUGGGGAGCAAACGGG
Molecule: ribosomal RNA, 253 nt
Filed under: uncultured bacterium
Lineage: Bacteria
Description: partial 16S ribosomal RNA
Rfam family: Bacterial small subunit ribosomal RNA
Source: RNAcentral